GACAGAGGGUGCAAACGUUGCUCGGAAUUACUGGGCGUAAAGCGCGUGUAGGUGGCCCCGCAAGUCAGGUGUGAAAGCCCUGGGCUCAACCCAGGAAGUGCACAUGAUACUACGUGGCUGGAGUACUGAAGAGGAGAGCGGAAUUCCCGGUGUAGAGGUGAAAUUCGUAGAUAUCGGGAGGAACACCAGUGGCGAAGGCGGCUCUCUGGGCAGAUACUGACGCUGAGGCGCGAAAGCUAGGGUAGCAAACGGG
RNAcentral lists this ribosomal RNA (253 nucleotides) under uncultured bacterium. RNAcentral describes it as "partial 16S ribosomal RNA". It matches the Rfam family "Bacterial small subunit ribosomal RNA", at positions 524 to 776 of the family's 1533-position model. The record is from RNAcentral.